This 328-nucleotide ribosomal RNA is filed under the name uncultured Spirochaeta sp. RNAcentral describes it as "bacterial SSU rRNA". It matches the Rfam family "Bacterial small subunit ribosomal RNA", at positions 62 to 387 of the family's 1533-position model. The record is from RNAcentral. Lineage: Bacteria; Pseudomonadati; Spirochaetota; Spirochaetia; Spirochaetales; Spirochaetaceae.
UCGAACGGUAGUAUGGUGCUUGCACUAUAUGAGAGUGGCGGACGGGUGAGUAACACGUAGAUAAUCUACCCUUGUGUUGGGGAUAGCUUAUGGAAACAUGGGUAAUACCGAAUACGGUCUUAGAAUCGAUAGGGUUUUAAGAAGAAAGGUGCUACGGCAUCGCACGAGGAGGAGUCUGCGGUAGAUUAGCUAGUUGGUAAGGUAAAGGCUUACCAAGGCGACGAUCUAUAGCCGGCCUGAGAGGGUGAACGGCCACACUGGGACUGAGAACGGCCCAGACUCCUACGGAGGCAGCAGCUAGAAUCUUCCGCAUGGACGAAAGUCUGAC